AAUGUUCAUUGUGUGGAUGUACUGCAGUUUCUCUGUUGAUUCAUUAGGACCUCUCGGUUCCUUCAGGUAUUUUUAAUGUAAUAUCAUUUCUUUUAAUUUUAUGUAUCUUUUGGAACAGGAUUCACAAUGUAGCUCAGGCUGGCCUCAAACUUUUGGUGAUCUAUCAUAGACCCUUGAAUGUAUAGAAUUUUUCAAAUAUUAAAUCACAUUAGGAAAAAGGUGUUUUGGAAAACGUUUAUCUCUUAAGUUUAUCUGUAAUAAUUGGAUAAAGAAGAUAUUUUAAAACUAAAUAAAAAUCAAAACAUAAAAAAUUUACUUUAUGUUCACGUGUAAAGAAUAAUCAGUUUCUCAGGGGCCUCCAAGAUGUGGCAAUAUGCUAUAGCAACUGCCUCAAUCCAAGUGGCUUUCAGUUUUUUCCUUUAUGUGACUUUCUGAAUCCUUGGGCUUUUGUUAGAGCAACAUAAGUAUUUAAAACUUGAUUGAGCAGAAGGGAAGUUGUGGUGCUGUUUGGAAGAGACCAGUGUCUUUCCAGCAUUGAUGAAUUCCUUUUUGCAAACAGAGCUCACUGAGUUUUAGAUCUGGCAGCUACAUACUGUAUUUCUAGUCUAACCUUACAGCCAGUGUGGAUACCAUGGUCAGUGGGAUGUGCAAAGGAGUGCCAUGUGUACAUAUACAAACUAGCUCACUCUGAUAUUUCUCUGGCCGAUGCCGACAGCUCUAGUAACCAAAACACCCACCGCCCAUUAGUGCUUCUGGAGGUUGGAGGUCUUAGAUUAGAAAUGAGAAAAACCAGGUUCUGGGGAGGGUUAUCUUGGUUGCCUUCUUGCUGUGUUUUCCUCUGUCAGAGCUAUGGCAAGAACACAUGCGUGUGCAUCUCGCACACUUUCUCAUCCAUCACAUUAGGGUUUAGGGCUUAUAUCUAGCAAUUUUGGUAAACCCAAACAAGCAUUCAGCCUGUAAUGUGCUGAUUCUUAGAGUGGAUGAUUCUUAUAGUCACUUCAAUUUAUUAAGAAAUCAUCCCAGCUCACAGGCUUAUUUUCGGUAAGUCAACUAACCUGUCUAGUUAUUAAUUUCAUCUUCUUUAGAAAGAUACAUUGACAUUUGUCUGGGUCCUAGGAUGACAACUCUAUAAAGUAUUAAAAUGUAUUCAUUCGUACGAUUCUGUUUGUAUGUGGUGUAUGCAUGUGCGCAUAUGGUAUGUGCAUGUCUAUGUGUGGAGGGCAAGAGGCUGACCCUGGGUGUCUUCUGAGAUUGCUAUGUACUUUAUUCGUUGCGGUGGGCGAGGGGAGCUCUCUUCCUGAACUGGAGCUCAUAAGUAGGCUAGACUUGGAACUCCCAAGGAUCCACUUGUCCCUUUCCCUCAGUGCUGGGUUACUGUGGAUGUGUGCCAUCACUGUCAGCUUUGGGGUGGAUGCUGGUGAUCCUAACGUGGAGCCUCAUGCUGGCUCAGCAGCCAUUUAACAACUGAGCCGUCUCCCUGCUCUGAAAUAGUUUCCUAAGGACUAACGCUAUAGUGACAUUUCCUUUUUUAGUAAGUAGAUACUUGAUAAUAGCUCUUGAUUUAAUCAUCUCUUUUUGUAACCAAGCUUAAUGCAUUUUAUUAACCUAUAAAAUUUGCAUUUGUGAAUAAUACUUGAAGAUUAGACAUACUGUUUAGGUAUUCUGUGAACACGAGACCAGACUAAUAAAAUUGGUAGUUUGGUUUUUUUUUUUUUUGUGCCUAGAAUAAAUGUUAACCAGGAUGCUUUCCGUUCUACUUUAUUAUUUUAAAUGUCUGUGUAUAUAGCCUUGGUGGCUGUAAUGAUCAGAAAUAGGUCUUUAGGAUGUUAAAGUUAUUCUUUUCUAUGUACAUGUAUCUCAUGUAUCUCGAUAAUAACAAUGAUUUUCAGAAUGAGUGCCACAGGGGCUCAAGGGGCAAUGACCCUUUUCUGCUCCAACCAAGAUGCUAUCACUUUGGAAUAGUUUCUAUAUUGAGAUUCCACAUACAACUUUAUUUUAGCCUCAUUGCCCCUCAAAAUUGGGACGUUGGAGAUCACCGAUUUCUGCUUAGACAGACAAACAGACACCCCUUUAUAAUGACAUAAUUUACCUAAAUUGUGUGAACCAUAUUCUUAGAAAGGUUGUAGAGUGAUGACUACCAGUCAUGUGACUUAUUGCUUGCAAAGUUAACCAUUGUAUAGUUUGAGAGCAUUUAAAAUACAUUGAAACAGAUAGUAGGGCUUUAGUGAUUGCUUCUGUGAGCCUAGUACACAUGCAGACUAUUUUUCUGCUGUAACAAAUGCUUUUCAGUGGAAUUGGAAGAUAGCACUCUUUAAAGAUGUUUUCUCAUCUUGCUUCCCCCCCCACCUCCCCCUUCCCCUAUUCUUUGGAGAAUUUGAGAUUUCAGUAUACAUGUUAAAUGAUAAGUGGAAGAAAGAAAAAUGGUGGAUAUAGCAAAUUAAUAUAGGAAUGUUAAAUGAUAUAAGAAAGGCACUGUAGGAAUUAGUUUCACUUUAAACAUUGUGACCAAUUAUUUAGUUUGAGCAAAACAAUAUAUCUAACAUAUUAAAUGAAGGCACAUAAUCUUUGAGUUAUUAUAAGUUUAAUUCUGGAUGGUUAUAAUGAAAUAAAUGUUGCAAUAUAGUGAAUCAUGUGUAUUUUUCCUAGGUUCCCAGAGCACAGUGUGAUUAUAUGUUUAUACAAUACUGUAUACGUGUACAAUUAUAAUUUUAAAUGUACAAUGAAACUAUUAUAAAAAUGUACAAUCAUAAUUAAAAACAUUUUACUGCUCCAAAGUGGUAACAG
This 2784-nucleotide long non-coding RNA is filed under the name Mus musculus (house mouse). RNAcentral's name for it is "long non-coding RNA chr19:57644546-57647330". Lineage: Eukaryota; Metazoa; Chordata; Mammalia; Rodentia; Muridae. The record is from RNAcentral.